UGGGGAAUUUUGGACAAUGGGCGAAAGCCUGAUCCAGCAAUGCCGCGUGUGUGAAGAAGGCCUUCGGGUUGUAAAGCACUUUUGUCCGGAAAGAAAUCCUCUGGGUUAAUACCUCGGGGGGAUGACGGUACCGGAAGAAUAAGCACCGGCUAACUACGUGCCAGCAGCCGCGGUAAUACGUAGGGUGCAAGCGUUAAUCGGAAUUACUGGGCGUAAAGCGUGCGCAGGCGGUUUUGUAAGACGGAUGUGAAAUCCCCGGGCUUAACCUGGGAACUGCAUUCGUGACUGCAAGGCUAGAGUAUGGCAGAGGGGGGUAGAAUUCCACGUGUAGCAGUGAAAUGCGUAGAGAUGUGGAGGAAUACCGAUGGCGAAGGCAGCCCCCUGGGCCAAUACUGACGCUCAUGCACGAAAGCGUGGGGAGCAAACAGGAUUAGAUACCCUGGUAGUCCACGCCCUAAACGAUGUCAACUAGUUGUUGGGGAUUCAUUUCCUUAGUAACGUAGCUAACGCGUGAAGUUGACCGCCUGGGGAGUACGGUCGCAAGAUUAAAACUCAAA
This 557-nucleotide ribosomal RNA is filed under the name uncultured bacterium. Its description in RNAcentral is "partial 16S ribosomal RNA". It matches the Rfam family "Bacterial small subunit ribosomal RNA", at positions 355 to 905 of the family's 1533-position model. The record is from RNAcentral.